RNAcentral lists this ribosomal RNA (492 nucleotides) under uncultured bacterium. RNAcentral describes it as "partial 16S ribosomal RNA". It matches the Rfam family "Bacterial small subunit ribosomal RNA", at positions 29 to 507 of the family's 1533-position model. The record is from RNAcentral.
AGUGAACGCUGGCGGUAGGCCUAACACAUGCAAGUCGAACGGCAGCACAGUAAGAGCUUGCUCUUACGGGUGGCGAGUGGCGGACGGGUGAGGCAUACAUCGGAAUCUACUUUUUCGUGGGGGAUAACGUAGGGACACUUACGCUAAUACCGCAUACGACCUACGGGUGAAAGCAGGGGUUCUUCGGACCUUGCGCGAUUGAAUGAGCCGAUGUCGGAUUAGCUAGUUGGCGGGGUAAAGGCCCACCAAGGCGACGAUCCGUAGCUGGUCUGAGAGGAUGAUCAGCCACACUGGAACUGAGACACGGUCCAGACUCCUACGGGAGGCAGCAGUGGGGAAUAUUGGGCAAUGGGCGCAAGCCUGAUCCAGCCAUACCGCGUGAGUGAAGAAGGCCUUCGGGUUGUAAAGCCCUUUUGUUGGGAAAGAAAAGCAGCAGGUUAAUACCCCGCUGUUCUGACGGUACCCAAAGAAUAAGCACCGGCUAACUUCGUG